Molecule: long non-coding RNA, 193 nt
Organism: Harpia harpyja (harpy eagle)
Lineage: Eukaryota; Metazoa; Chordata; Aves; Accipitriformes; Accipitridae
Exons: 2
Source: RefSeq, a predicted model, not a curated record
AGGGGGUCCGCUCUGAACCUCGUGACUCAACAGAAGGGCUCUCCUUAUUGUCUUCCCUGAACUGAUCCCCAAAUAAGCAAGGCCUGUAGUAUAUGUUUGGUGAUGUAUGGUCAGCAUAUUGUACCAAUUCUUGUUGCAAGCAUGUCAAUUCGUGUUCUGAGUGAAUAAAAGUUGAGUUUUGUGAGUUAAAGUA